UACGACUACAUAUCAGGCAUAUCAAUAAGCGGAGGAAAAGAAACUAACUAGGAUUCCCUCAGUAACGGCGAGUGAAGCGGGAAGAGCUCAAAUUUGAAAUCUUCAAGGUUUUGCCUUGACGAAUUGUAGUUUAAAGAAGUGUUUUCUGUUGGUGUUUUGGUAAAAGUUCUUUGGAAUAGGACAUCAUAGAGGGUGAGAAUCCCGUAUUUGACCAUUACUUCCAGCGUUGUGAUACACUUUCAACGAGUCGGAUUGUUUGGGAAUGCAGUCCAAAAUGGGUGGUAAAUUUCAUCUAAAGCUAAAUAUUGGCGAGAGACCGAUAGCGAACAAGUACCGUGAGGGAAAGAUGAAAAGAACUUUGAAAAGAGAGUUAAACAGUACGUGAAAUUGUCAAAAGGGAAGCGUUUGACACCAGUGUUGUUUUCUCGAAAAUCAAUUAAAAAGUAUGGGAUUUUGUAUUGUUAAGACCUUAUCAGCUUACGGUACUAUUUUCCUUAUUCUUUUUAAUGCACUUUUCGUUUAACAAGUCAACAUCAAUUUCUUUUGUUGUAAAAGAGUCAUUGGAAGGUGGCUUUCCUUUCGGAUGAAAGUGUUUAUAGCCUUUGACUUCUGCAAUCGGAGAGAUUGAGGUCUGCAGCGUAGAUCCUUUCUGGAUUAGAUACGUAGAUGCUAAGUUAUAGUUUUUCAUAGACAACUUGUUGACUAUGAUUAAUCAUGUAGCUUACUCGCUUAUGCUAUUUUACCUACGCUUAGGAUGUUGAAUCUGUGCGAGACUAC
Molecule: ribosomal RNA, 777 nt
Filed under: uncultured Neocallimastigales
Lineage: Eukaryota; Fungi; Neocallimastigomycota; Neocallimastigomycetes; Neocallimastigales
Description: partial large subunit ribosomal RNA
Rfam family: Eukaryotic large subunit ribosomal RNA
Source: RNAcentral